This 1357-nucleotide long non-coding RNA is filed under the name Coturnix japonica (Japanese quail). RNAcentral describes it as "lncRNA (ENSCJPG00005002700.1)". The record is from RNAcentral. Lineage: Eukaryota; Metazoa; Chordata; Aves; Galliformes; Phasianidae.
CCUCGCAGUGACCCCAGCCGUGCUGACCUUUAAAUGACCCAUGUUUGACCUUAAAAUGGAACCCAUAUUGUGACCUUAAAUGACCCCGUAUUGUGACCUUAAAUGACCCCCAUAUUGUGUCCUUAAAUGACCCCAUAUUGUGACCUUAAAUGACCCCAUAUUGUGACCUUAAAUGACCCCAUAUUGUGACCUUAAAUGACCCCAUAUUGUGACCUUAAAUGACCCCGUAUUGUGACCUUAAAUGACCCCGUCCCCAUAUGACCUUGAAUAACCCCUAUCUCUGGAUGACCUGGAGUAACCCCGUCCUAUGGCUGACCUCAGGUGACCCCGUGACCCUUAGUGACCUCAGGUGACCCCACAUUGGGAGUGACCUGGAGUAACCCCAUCCUAUGGGUGACCUCAGGUGACCCCGUGACCCCAUGUGACCUCAGGUGACCCCAUAUUGUGACCUCGGGUGACCCCAUCCCCAUAUGACCUUGAAUAACCCCCAUCUCUGGAUGACCUGGAGUAACCCCGUCCUACGGGUGACCUCAGGUGACCCCAUGACCCUUAGUGACCUCAAAUGACCUUUGGUGACCUCAGAUGACCCCUGUGACCUAAUUAGUGACCUCAGAUGACCCCAUAUUAUGAAUGACCUCGAGUAACCCCAAUCUAGGGCUGACCUCAGGUGACCCCGUGACCCCAUGUGACCUCAGGUGACCCCACGUGACCUCAGGUGACCCCAUGUGACCUCAGGUGACCCUCACCUUCCUCCUCCUCGUCUCCAUGGCGACCGCUUCGGUCCCACAGUCCGUCUCCAUGGUGACGGUUGCCAUGGUGAUGAUGGUCGCCAUGUUUGUCCUCGUGGUUGCCAUGGUGAUGGUCGCCAUGUUUGUCCUCGUGGUUGCCAUGGUGAUGGUUGCCAUGGUGAUGGUUGCCAUGGAGAUCGCCAUGAUGCUGGUUGCCAUGGAGGUCGCCAUGAUGGUUACCAUGGUCCCCGCUCUUGCUGUGGUCGCCAUGGUGACCGCCAUGAUGCUGGUUGCCAUGGAGACCGUGAUGCUGGUUGCCAUGGAGACCGUGAUGCUGGUUGCCAUGGAGAUGGGCUCCCAGCUGGUUGCCAUGGGGCUCUGUGUUGCCAUGGGAACGGCUGCCGUUGCCGUGGUGAUGGAGCUGCAGCUCUAAGAGGCCGAUCUUCUUCUGCAGCGCCUCCCGCAGCCCAGAGACAUUGCGGCUGUGCUGGGGGGAGGACAAUGGGGCUGCCCCAUAGCUGCCCCAUAGCUGCCCCAUAGCUGCCCCAUAGCUGCCCCAUGGCUGCCCCAUAGCUGCCCCAUAGCUGCCCCAUGGCUGCCCCAUAGCUGCCCCAUAGCUGCCCCAUAGC